GGUAAAAGGCAAACCCGUCGAAAGGCGGGGACGCAAAGCUAAGUGUCUACGCGGAAAUGCUCCGUAGGAUCGACUGG
This 77-nucleotide non-coding RNA is filed under the name human gut metagenome. Its description in RNAcentral is "Cyclic di-GMP-I riboswitch". It matches the Rfam family "c-di-GMP-I riboswitch aptamer", at positions 5 to 79 of the family's 87-position model. From Rfam's summary of the family: GEMM was predicted in a large-scale screen for bacterial structured RNA regulatory elements. The record is from RNAcentral.